Molecule: ribosomal RNA, 399 nt
Filed under: uncultured bacterium
Lineage: Bacteria
Description: bacterial SSU rRNA
Rfam family: Bacterial small subunit ribosomal RNA
Source: RNAcentral
GGAAUUUUUCGCAAUGGGCGCAAGCCUGACGCAGCGACGCCGCGUGGGUGAUGAAGGUUUUCGGAUCGUAAAGCCCUUUUCUGCGUGACGAUGAUGACGGUAGCGCAGGAAGAAGUGUCGGCUAACUACGUGCCAGCAGCCGCGGUAAAACGUAGGACGCAAACGUUAUCCGGAAUUACUGGGCGUAAAGGGCGCGCAGGCGGUCCACUAAGUGAGGCAUGAAAGCUCCCUGGCUAAACCGGGAGAGGUUGUCUGAGACUGGUGGACUAGAGUAUGGUAGAGGGGUGUAGAAUUCCGCGUGUAGUGGUGAAAUGCGUAGAGAUGCGGAGGAAUACCAGUGGCGAAGGCGACACCCUGGACCAAGACUGACGCUGAGGCGCGAAAGCAUGGGUAGCGAAC